GACACGGGAUGCUUACGCCGCGGUGAGUAGGAGGGUCGCAGCGGCGAGCGUUGAAGGUGCCGGGCGCGAGCCCGCCUGGAGCCGCCGCUGGUGCAGAUCUUGGUGGUAGUAGCAAAUACUCAAGUGAGAACCUUGAGGACUGAGGUGGAGAAGGGUUCCAUGUGAACAGCAGUUGAACAUGGGUCAGUCGGUCCUAAGGGAUAGGAGAAAUCCGUUCCGAAGCGGGUGUUUUUUAAAACGUCGUGCCCGCCGGUCGACCGAAAGGGAAUCGGGUUAAUAUUCCCGAACCCG
This 291-nucleotide ribosomal RNA is filed under the name Acanthophrynus coronatus. Its description in RNAcentral is "partial large subunit ribosomal RNA". It matches the Rfam family "Eukaryotic large subunit ribosomal RNA", at positions 1363 to 1627 of the family's 3401-position model. Lineage: Eukaryota; Metazoa; Arthropoda; Arachnida; Amblypygi; Phrynidae. The record is from RNAcentral.